Molecule: ribosomal RNA, 427 nt
Filed under: uncultured bacterium
Lineage: Bacteria
Description: bacterial SSU rRNA
Rfam family: Bacterial small subunit ribosomal RNA
Source: RNAcentral
UGGGGAAUUUUGGACAAUGGGCGCAAGCCUGAUCCAGCAAUGCCGCGUGCAGGAUGAAGGCCUUCGGGUUGUAAACUGCUUUUGUACGGAGCGAAAAGGUCUGCCCUAAUACGGUGGGCUCAUGACGGUACCGUAAGAAUAAGCACCGGCUAACUACGUGCCAGCAGCCGCGGUAAUACGUAGGGUGCAAGCGUUAAUCGGAAUUACUGGGCGUAAAGCGUGCGCAGGCGGUUAUGCAAGACAGAGGUGAAAUCCCCGGGCUCAACCUGGGACCUGCAUUUGUGACUGUAUAGCUAGAGUACGGUAGAGGGGGAUGGAAUUCCGCGUGUAGCAGUGAAAUGCGUAGAUAUGCGGAGGAGCACCGAUGGCGAAGGCAAUCCCCUGGACCUGUACUGACGCUCAUGCACGAAAGCGUGGGGAGCAAACA